This 253-nucleotide ribosomal RNA is filed under the name uncultured bacterium. RNAcentral's name for it is "partial 16S ribosomal RNA". It matches the Rfam family "Bacterial small subunit ribosomal RNA", at positions 524 to 776 of the family's 1533-position model. The record is from RNAcentral.
UACGUAGGGGGCAAGCGUUGUCCGGAAUCAUUGGGCGUAAAGCGCGUGUAGGCGGCCCGAUAAGUCCGCUGUGAAAGUCCAGGGCUCAACCCUGGGAUGCCGGUGGAUACUGUCGGGCUCGAGUCCGGAAGAGGCGAGUGGAAUUCCUGGUGUAGCGGUGAAAUGCGCAGAUAUCAGGAGGAACACCAAUGGCGAAGGCAGCUCGCUGGGACGGUACUGACGCUGAGGCGCGAAAGCGUGGGGAGCAAACAGG